GCAAACUUGGUCAUUUAGAGGAAGUAAAAGUCGUAACAAGGUCUCCGUUGGUGAACCAGCGGAGGGAUCAUUACCGAGUUAUACGAAACUCCCAAACCCACUGUGAACCUUACCUCUCGUUGCUUCGGCGGGACGGCCCCGGGCCCCCGGCCCGGAACCAGGCGCCCGCCGGAGGCCCCCAAACCUCCUGUUUCCGCCGAUGGGAAUCCUUCUGAGUGGCCCCCAGGGGCGAAAAGAAAAUCAAUCAAAACUUUCAACAACGGAUCUCUUGGCUCUGGCAUCGAUGAAGAACGCAGC
This 297-nucleotide unclassified non-coding RNA is filed under the name uncultured fungus. Its description in RNAcentral is "partial contains small subunit ribosomal RNA, internal transcribed spacer 1, and 5.8S ribosomal RNA". The stretch from base 1 to 73 matches the Rfam family "Eukaryotic small subunit ribosomal RNA", at positions 1759 to 1831 of the family's 1831-position model. Lineage: Eukaryota; Fungi. The record is from RNAcentral.